AAGCGCCGCCGUAGAACAGCGCCCAACGUAAUAAUACAAAUCUCACAGAGACCGUGCCCCUCCCCUGUGUGGGAGACUUCCCUGACAAAUCCCUUAUAAUCCGUUGCACCUUUCAGUGUUUGUUACUUAGCAGCUCAUUGUUUUCGAAACUUCCCCAUAUCCAUAGUAACGAAAAGAAAUCCAGACAGAAUACGAAAAUCUCUAAACUUUUGUAAGCAACAUCUUAAACGGCUUAUUUUCAAACUUCAAAGAUCAGUUAUGUUAGGGCGUUUGUUAUUAUGUAUGAGUAUUUCUCUCUUGGCCUUCCUUCAAUUUUCCGAUGGCUUUAUCCAAGUUUUGCAACCAGGAAUAGGUGACUAGAUGUGGACACGCAGAACAGGUUAACUCAGUUCGGAAGUCUUGAAAAGAACAAUAAUGAAAUGAAUGAUGUUUCGUCUUGGGCUGGUGACUCUUCAGAGUUUAUCCGUUCAGGCUCGAAACAAAAGAGAGACUACACUCUACAAAAACUUCUAAACAUUUUGAAAAAAGUUGCUGCCUAUCGUCGACGUCCGGUCCGCAUCAUUGGAAAACACAUGAGAUUUGGGAUUAGUAAGAAGUAAGACAGCUACCGAAGUCGAUGAAUAUGAAUAUUCUACAUUCUAGUGUUUGAUGGAAUUUUCUGGAAUCUUGCUUUAAUUGUAGUUUUUGGUUUUGGUGUUUCUUACUAUAGAUACUGGCAAAGUAAAAAAAUAGCUCUAUAUGAUUAAUA
Molecule: long non-coding RNA, 748 nt
Organism: Limulus polyphemus (Atlantic horseshoe crab)
Lineage: Eukaryota; Metazoa; Arthropoda; Merostomata; Xiphosura; Limulidae
Exons: 3
Source: RefSeq, a predicted model, not a curated record